AGGAAAAAAGUUUAUGAGGAUAAACAUCGGGCUUCAAACCUGAAGAUAGUCAGUUCGAAUCUGACUUUUCCUG
This 73-nucleotide transfer RNA is filed under the name Ministeria vibrans. Its description in RNAcentral is "tRNA-Trp". It matches the Rfam family "tRNA". From Rfam's summary of the family: Transfer RNA (tRNA) molecules are approximately 80 nucleotides in length. Their secondary structure includes four short double-helical elements and three loops (D, anti-codon, and T loops). The record is from RNAcentral. Lineage: Eukaryota; Filasterea; Ministeriida; Ministeriidae.